AACUCCGGUCCCUGCGCUUGCACAGCAGGUGGUGAAACCACUGAGCUAAAUCCCUGGCCCCUUUUACAGUGGUCUUAGGUUUACAGAAUUGAGGGAAGUGCAGAGAACUCGGGCCUGUCUCCCCGCUAAUGUGUGUGGGUCCUGUGGCGCAACAGCCUUGCCUUGUGGUCACCAAAGCCCUGGCUGACGCCGGGGCUCCUGCUGGGGGUUGUGCAAUCACUGGUUCUGAUAGGUGUGUGGUGAUGUGUGCGCCACCUGUUCGCUUCCUAGGCCUCCACGGUAGCCAGCUGUGGUGGCUUGCUGGUUCCAAACAACAGUCAGGACCCUCCAGUCCUUUGGGUAUCCGCCCACUCCUGGGUGCCCCUGAGAGGCAGGACUCAGGCAGGUUGCUCAGCCUCCGUCCUGAUCCCCACGUGCCUGUUUACUGUCAUCAGACAGGGACUCCACUUGGAUGCCCAGCCCCAAGACUCCACCCACAGGAAGGAGCCUGUAUGCUCCUGCCUGAGC
Long non-coding RNA from Heterocephalus glaber (naked mole-rat), 507 nucleotides. The record is from Ensembl. NCBI's taxonomy places the organism in Eukaryota, Metazoa, Chordata, Mammalia, Rodentia, Bathyergidae.